UACGUAGGGUGCAAGCGUUAAUCGGAAUUACUGGGCGUAAAGCGUGCGCAGGCGGUUUUGUAAGACAGGCGUGAAAUCCCCGGGCUCAACCUGGGAAUUGCGCUUGUGACUGCAAGGCUGGAGUGCGGCAGAGGGGGAUGGAAUUCCGCGUGUAGCAGUGAAAUGCGUAGAUCUGCGGAGGAACACCGAUGGCGAAGGCAAUCCCCUGGGCCUGCACUGACGCUCAUGCACGAAAGCGUGGGGAGCAAACAGG
RNAcentral lists this ribosomal RNA (253 nucleotides) under uncultured bacterium. RNAcentral's name for it is "partial 16S ribosomal RNA". It matches the Rfam family "Bacterial small subunit ribosomal RNA", at positions 524 to 776 of the family's 1533-position model. The record is from RNAcentral.